AUAUUAAUAGGCCCAGGAAGAAUAAACCACCCAGGAAUGCCCUUAUUAAAGGGCGAAGGAAACGGCAAGAACCCAGCAAUUGAACCGCCGGCCAUCUCGGUCGCGCGGAAUAUAGUGUUGGGAGAGCCUCAUCGUUGCGAUCCGGACGUUUCCAAGUGCACCUUGACUGGGACCAUGGCCCGUAGAGGGUGAUAGCCCCGUGAGACCGUUGGAUUGCUGCGCUGGCUUUUCCCUAGAGUCGAAUUGUUUGGGAGUACAGCUCAAAGUGCGAGGUAAACUCCUCGUAAGGCUAAAUAUGACCCCGAGACCGAUAGCGAACAAGUACCGUGAGGGAAAGUUGAAAAGCACUUUGAAGAGAGAGUUCAAGAGUACGUGAAACUGUGUAGUAGUAAACGGAGGGGCUCUCGAAGUCGGCGUUGACGGUUCAUGGUGUCGGCCGGUGAGCCUGGGGGUUGUUGAUCUGCAAAGACUUCACUCUUAGGUCGCGCUGGUUGCCGCUUGCACUCCGUUGGCGCCUCACGCAACGAACCGUUCGGACCGGACCGAGGCUGUGGGUGAAGUUUCAGGCCUAGCUUGGAGCCCCGCAUUCCUGGCUCUGGACCGGACGGGUAAUGGAGCGGUCUCUUAUAGAGGGUGUCUUAAUGGCACGGGCUGCAUCUCUGUGCGAGCUGGUCGGCGGCCCCUCCGACCCGUCUGAAACACGGAC
RNAcentral lists this ribosomal RNA (706 nucleotides) under Oithona nana. RNAcentral's name for it is "eukaryotic LSU rRNA". It matches the Rfam family "Eukaryotic large subunit ribosomal RNA", at positions 40 to 666 of the family's 3401-position model. Lineage: Eukaryota; Metazoa; Arthropoda; Copepoda; Cyclopoida; Oithonidae. The record is from RNAcentral.